This 1518-nucleotide long non-coding RNA is filed under the name Coturnix japonica (Japanese quail). RNAcentral describes it as "lncRNA (ENSCJPG00005002004.1)". The record is from RNAcentral. Lineage: Eukaryota; Metazoa; Chordata; Aves; Galliformes; Phasianidae.
CCCAAUGGCAGAUCUCCCCCCAUAGCCGCUCUAUCUCCCCCAUCUCUAUGAUCCCACCAUUGACCCCAAUGGCAGAUCUCUCCCCAUAGCCGCUCUAUCUCCCCCAUCUCUAUGAUCCCACCAUUGAUCCCAAUGGCAGAUCUCCCCCCAUAGCCGCUCUAUCUCCCCCAUCUCUAUAGUCCCACCAUUGACCCCAAUGGCAGAUCUCCCCCCACAGCUUCAAUGGCGACGGUCCUCCAGCCCCGGGAACCAGCGGCCUCCAACAUGGCCGCCAUCAUGGCCGCCACUCUGGCUCUCUGCCUCCUCCCUUCCGCCUCUCACGGGGACCGCCAUCACCAGGAGGACUUCCGCCAUCACCGGGAGGACUUCCGCCAUCACCGGGAGGACUUCGGCCAUCACCGGGAGGACCUCGGCCAUCACCGGGAGGACCUCGGCCAUGGUCAGCACCAGCUCCAUGUGGACAGCGGCCACGGCCACACCUUGACGGCCAUGUUUAGUCGUGGGCACCAACACGAAGACCCCCAGCAUGGACACUCACAUGGGGACCCCCACCAUGGGGACCCCCAUAGGGACCCCCACUAUGGCCAUGGGGACCCCCACCAUGGCCAUCAACAUGGGGACCCCCAUACGGACCCCCAUUAUGGCCAUGGGGACCCCCAUAGGGACCCCCAUUAUGGCCAUGGGGACCCCCAUACGGACCCCCAUUAUGGCCAUGGGGACCCCCAUAGGGACCCCCACCACAGCCAUGGGGACCCCCAUAGGGACCACCACCAUCAACAUGGGGACCCCCAUAGUGACCCCCAUCAUGGCCAUGGGGACCCCCAUAGGGACCCCCAUCAUCAUCAUGGGGACCCCCACCAUGGCCAUCAACAUGGGGACCCCCAUAGAGACCCCCACCACAGCCAUGGGGACCCCCAUAGGGACCCCCACCAUCAACAUGGGGACCCCCAUAGGGACCCCCACCACAGCCAUGGGGACCCCCACCAUGGCCAUUCACAUGGGGACCCCCAUAGGGACCCCCACUAUGGCCAUGGGGACCCCCAUACGGACCCCUACUAUGGCCAUGGGGACCCCCAUCAUGGCCAUCAACAUGGGGACCCCCAUAGGGACCCCCACCAUCAACAUGGGGACCCCCAUAGGGACCCCCAUCAUCAACAUGGGGACCCCCAUAGGGACCCCCACCACGGCCAUGGGGACCCCCAUCAUGGCCAUCAACAUGGGGACCCCCAUCAUGGCCAUCAACAUGGGGACCCCCAUAGGGACCCCCACCACAGCCAUGGGGACCCCCAUCAUGGCCAUGGGGACCCCUACCAUCAUCAUGAGGACCCCCAUCAUGGCCACCACCAUGGGGACCCCCAUAGAGACCCCUACCAUGGCCAUGGCCAUCAACAUGGGGACCCCCAUCAUCAACAUGGGGACCCCCACCAUGGCCACAGCCACCACCAUGGGGACCCCCAAGUUCCCCCCCCAUCAGCUCCCAGUCGCCCGGACACUCUGACCCUCUGGAUUCAGGUGAGC